Molecule: ribosomal RNA, 434 nt
Filed under: uncultured Clostridium sp.
Lineage: Bacteria; Bacillati; Bacillota; Clostridia; Eubacteriales; Clostridiaceae
Also listed under: 1 other name
Description: partial 16S ribosomal RNA
Rfam family: Bacterial small subunit ribosomal RNA
Source: RNAcentral
ACGGAAGGCAGCAGUGGGGAAUAUUGCACAAUGGGCGAAAGCCUGAUGCAGCGACGCCGCGUGAGUGAAGAAGUAUCUCGGUAUGUAAAGCUCUAUCAGCAGGGAAGAGAAUGACGGUACCUGACUAAGAAGCCCCGGCUAACUACGUGCCAGCAGCCGCGGUAAUACGUAGGGGGCAAGCGUUAUCCGGAUUUACUGGGUGUAAAGGGAGCGUAGACGGUUUGGCAAGUCUGAAGUGAAAUGCGGGGGCUCAACUCCUGAACUGCUUUGGAAACUGUCGAACUAGAGUGCAGGAGAGGUAAGUGGAAUUCCUAGUGUAGCGGUGAAAUGCGUAGAUAUUAGGAGGAACACCAGUGGCGAAGGCGGCUUACUGGACUGUAACUGACGUUGAGGCUCGAAAGCGUGGGGAGCAAACAGGAUUAGAUACCCUGGUA